UACGUAGGUGGCAAGCGCUGUCCGGAUUUACUGGGUGUAAAGGGCGUGCAGCCGGGAGUGCAAGUCAGAUGUGAAAUCCAUAGGCUCAACCCAUGAACUGCAUUUGAAACUGUACUACUUGAGUACCGGAGGGGCAAUCGGAAUUCCUAGUGUAGCGGUGAAAUGCGUAGAUAUUAGGAGGAACACCAGUGGCGAAGGCGGAUUGCUGGACGGCAACUGACGGUGAGGCGCGAAAGCGUGGGGAGCAAAC
Molecule: ribosomal RNA, 250 nt
Filed under: uncultured prokaryote
Description: partial 16S ribosomal RNA
Rfam family: Bacterial small subunit ribosomal RNA
Source: RNAcentral